UUUAUAUAUAGAUUGGAGUAGGAUUCCCCGAUUGGUGUAAAUUUUGGCCUCCUAGGUGGUUCAUGAGGACGGAAGUUAUUUUAUGAAGGAUGGGGGUUAUAGUGGUCUUGGUGAGGAGGCUGGUUUCUAUGAAAUGUAGCUCUGUUCUUGUUGAUUUGCUGCUGAGGCCGAACAUAAGGUUUCAUGACCGCGUAUGGCUGAGGAGCAUAGGCCAUGUCCUGGUGGGGGUAAUAACACUGCAGGGUUCUUUCUGGGAAACGAGAUCUAGGAGCACGGUGUUUUCUUGCACCCGAUGCUGCCUUAGAUGUUUCUUCCUCUUUCUUUCCGUUCGCUAUUCCUC
Molecule: long non-coding RNA, 340 nt
Filed under: Nicotiana benthamiana
Lineage: Eukaryota; Viridiplantae; Streptophyta; Magnoliopsida; Solanales; Solanaceae
Description: long non-coding RNA (NBEN_LNC041711)
Source: RNAcentral